Molecule: ribosomal RNA, 496 nt
Filed under: uncultured bacterium
Lineage: Bacteria
Description: partial 16S ribosomal RNA
Rfam family: Bacterial small subunit ribosomal RNA
Source: RNAcentral
GAUGAACGCUGGCGGCGUGCCUAAUACAUGCAAGUCGAGCGAACGGACGAGAAGCUUGCUUCUCUGAUGUUAGCGGCGGACGGGUGAGUAACACGUGGAUAACCUACCUAUAAGACUGGGAUAACUUCGGGAAACCGUAGCUAAUACCGGAUAAUAUUUUAACCGCAUGGUUCAAAAGUGAAAGACGGUCUUGCUGUCACUUAUAGAUGGAUCCGCGCUGCAUUAGCUAGUUGGUAAGGUAACGGCUUACCAAGGCAACGAUGCAUAGCCGACCUGAGAGGGUGAUCGGCCACACUGGAACUGAGACACGGUCCAGACUCCUACGGGAGGCAGCAGUAGGGAAUCUUCCGCAAUGGGCGAAAGCCUGACGGAGCAACGCCGCGUGAGUGAUGAAGGUCUUCGGAUCGUAAAACUCUGUUAUUAGGGAAGAACAUAUGUGUAAGUAACUGUGCACAUCUUGACGGUACCUAAUCAGAAAGCCACGGCUAACUACGUG